RNAcentral lists this ribosomal RNA (253 nucleotides) under uncultured bacterium. Its description in RNAcentral is "partial 16S ribosomal RNA". It matches the Rfam family "Bacterial small subunit ribosomal RNA", at positions 524 to 776 of the family's 1533-position model. The record is from RNAcentral.
UACGGAGGGUGCAAGCGUUAUCCGGAUUUAUUGGGUUUAAAGGGUCCGUAGGCGGAUCUGUAAGUCAGUGGUGGAAUCUCACAGCUUAACUGUGAAACUGCCAUUGAUACUGCAGGUCUUGAGUGUUAUUGAAGUAGCUGGAAUAAGUAGUGUAGCGGUGAAAUGCAUAGAUAUUACUUAGAACACCAAUUGCGAAGGCAGGUUACUAAGCAACAACUGACGCUGAUGGACGAAAGCGUGGGGAGCGAACAGG